Molecule: ribosomal RNA, 207 nt
Filed under: uncultured bacterium
Lineage: Bacteria
Description: partial 16S ribosomal RNA
Rfam family: Bacterial small subunit ribosomal RNA
Source: RNAcentral
CACGUAGGCGGCUUCUUAAGUCGGGGGUGAAAUCCUGGAGCUCAACUCCAGAACUGCCUUCGAUACUGGGAAGCUCGAGUCCGGGAGAGGUGAGUGGAACUGCGAGUGUAGAGGUGAAAUUCGUAGAUAUUCGCAAGAACACCAGUGGCGAAGGCGGCUCACUGGCCCGGUACUGACGCUGAGGUGCGAAAGCGUGGGGAGCAAACA